Molecule: long non-coding RNA, 1777 nt
Filed under: Triticum aestivum (bread wheat)
Lineage: Eukaryota; Viridiplantae; Streptophyta; Magnoliopsida; Poales; Poaceae
Description: long non-coding RNA (TAES_LNC011391)
Source: RNAcentral
CCAUUAAUUCAUUCUGUACACAAGGCAUUCUUGGUAACCACGGAGUAACAAUGUGGUGUCAUAAAUAUAUUCCAUGUAGUGGUUUCAGGAAAUAUCUCACUAAAACAAAUUCCAGCCUUGAGAUUACAAAUAAAAUUCGUCCUGAUACAAUUGAAUGCCACUUAGCAGUAACUAACCAGCAGCAUGAAAAUUUCAGAAAUCACUAUUACAAAAUUGCUGCUGAACUUGAAUACUAACUACUGCGGUACUGCUGAACUUGAAACUAAAUAACUGUCGAACUUGAUCUUAAAUUAGCUUAACUUGCAGGUGACCAGAGAUCUCCCAUCAGCUUCAUCUGUUCACCAAUCUCUCUAGGACCCCAGCGACUAAAACAUUCUUAUCCACGGGCUGGAAGCAACAUAGUAUCCUAUUAAUUGUACGGUAGCAUUGAGGUCCACUUUUCUUCUCACAACCUGGAUUUUGCUACUGGUUAUUUGUAAAAGAUGUUUUGAAAUUUCAAUUUAAAACUACACGUACAUACCAUAAAUACCAAGACGCGACUCUUUAUCCAUCAUACAUUAGCCAUCAACCACUUGAACGGAUACCUGAAAAACAGAAUAUUUUCAGUUCUCGUAAGUAUAAGAACAAACAUGUAGAGGACACCAACACACAAGCACAUAUAACACUUUAGGAUUAACAGGAUUUCAAUACCCUAAACUGGUAACAAUGUCGAAAUCAAAGAUAUCGCAGAGGGAUUUUGCAUGUACCAAAUUCAUCAGAAUCACAUGAACCAAUAAUACGAUGUUGCAGGUAUGAAUCAAAAGUACACAGAAACAAAACAAAAAGGCAAAACUCUGUAACUAUUGUUUCAAUGCACACUAAACUAUUUUCCUAUCUUGUAGAGCUAUCCAUUCAAAUAUGGCUAUUCACACCAAAAUACGAGACUAGUGCAGCGGCCACUCAUGAUUUGUAGUCACCAUGGGACUUGAGUUGCUUAGUUGCUUAAACAGUCUACUGUACUCACCAUUACUAAUUGAAAAUUUGAUUGUAAGGCAAAGCAACCAUAUCACUAAAGACACGAGGACAAGUAAUUCAGAAUUUAAUAAAUAUAUAGACUGCUAAUUUAUGUCGAUCAUUAUUGCCAAACAAUCUAUGGUGCCUUUCUUUUUCUUGCAGAUUGCUAAGUAAAAUGGCAGGCAAGCAAAUUUAAGUGACUCCAAAUUUGCAUCUAUAAUGAAAGAUAUGUAUAUGUGCGAGAGUAGCGGGCAUUCAAAUAUAAAAGACUGUAUCAAUAACAAGCCACCACGGCAAGGAUACAGACCCCAACGUGCAGCUCAACUUUUCAUUUGAUAUUCAGGUUUAAGGCACUUCCCUUAUUAUUCUGAACAUCACCAGCCAUCCUACAAACAGACAGAGAAUUAGCAUAAGAAUCAAGAAGCAGAACAUAAUUUCCAACUGAGCCAUCUCCUCUGGCAAAAUAUGAAUCAUUGCGAAGGUGAGAUGGCCUUUAGAAGAGCAAAAGAAAAAUUAGUUUCACACCAUGACACCACGAUCAGUACAGUUCAGCAGAUUUAGAAGCUAGUCAGGCCUUAUUCGCCCCAAAUCAUAUUCAGGAUAAGCAAUCAACACGUACAGUUCUUCAUUUCUGCAAUAGAUAGUGGAGGCUUGUCGGCAUAGAUUGUUGAUGUCUUAGCACGACCUGAAUCUUGUUCAGCAUACCUCUUUCUUAUCUAGAAAUCCGAGGUAUAUCUGAAUAAAAGAGAAAAUAGGAACAACAUGACCAGUCCAGUAAAGAAAC